Long non-coding RNA from Sebastes umbrosus (honeycomb rockfish), 488 nucleotides. RefSeq lists it as uncharacterized. NCBI's taxonomy places the organism in Eukaryota, Metazoa, Chordata, Actinopteri, Perciformes, Sebastidae. The transcript is spliced from 3 exons. The record is from RefSeq and is a predicted model, not a curated record.
UAAUUAUUAUUUUAACAUUAUGAAUUGUAGUGAAUCUGAAUGUCAAAAUAAUAAUUAAAAUAAUAACGUAUCCAAGCUGGUGUAUUGACAAAUGCAUAACUGCUCCGACACAAAAUAAUACACAGCCACUUAAAGCUUCUUGUAAAAUGUUAAAAAAUGAUGUUCUUGUUGUCAUUAUACUCAAAUGGGCUGUAUUAAAUAACUUUAUUACCUUUUAAUAUAUGUAUUCACAUUUAUCUUAUGCUGGAAAAAUAAAAGUUGCAAUAAAUGUUUGGGGUAAACCGUUGUAUAUUUAAAAAAUGUUGCUGGCUUGGAUCCUCAAAUAUUUUUCACAGAAGAAAUUUUGAUAUGUCACAGGAGGAAAACCACAGGUGUAAAUAAUAAAAUGAAUGAUUCUACGGUUUCAGGGUUCUGGUAGUGCACACCCGUGCUUUUCCUAAUAUGACAAGUCAAAAUGUCUGCUGUGGAAAAGGCCUAUACAAACUGAA